Diachasmimorpha longicaudata is the source of this 2135-nucleotide long non-coding RNA. RefSeq lists it as uncharacterized. The record is from RefSeq and is a predicted model, not a curated record. NCBI's taxonomy places the organism in Eukaryota, Metazoa, Arthropoda, Insecta, Hymenoptera, Braconidae. The transcript has 3 exons.
UACGUGCUGCAGUCAAAUAGUUGAAUGAUGCCUACCACGAACCACUACCUACCGAACCACAUGACAACUGUCGUUGCUUCAUGGAGAUGACUUAAUCCGGAUAAACGAUACAACUUUACAUAUGUUUAAUACGUGUGAUAGUAUUGCUACGGAUACACGACUAGAACUUCUGCACGUCCAGUUGGAUAAUGAGGCACGUAACGUGUGUAAGGGGGUGUCGAACACUAUGAUGCUUAUUUUCAAUACAAGUGGAUUGUAACGUUCAUUGAGCUUGAAUAGAAAUCAUUGUUGUUAAUUUACCAUUUCCAACGUGCAAUUCUCUUGAUAAUCCGGAGUGCCAACUGUACACAUUCGUCAGUCAGUGGAGGAUUGAAGAAUGUCCGUCCGUCCCUUGUGCUUCUCAGCUCAAUGCCACAUUAUAACUUUUUACAUUUACAAUAAUUUGUUGAUUUUCAGUUUUGGAUGUUUACACUUUUUGAUUUUCUCCAAGAUAGCGGAAAUUUGCCUGUGUCCUGCCAAUUGGCUGCCAAUGUCAGUGUCAAAACGCUUCUUGCCACACACAAUGCGCGUGAAAUGCAGGGUCAUGUGAUACACAUUCUUAUAUGCAAUGUGUGUUAGUGUGUUCGGUUCUGUAGCAACGACGAUGGACUCAAGGUGUGUGAGAAAUGCUCGUGUAACUGGCACCACUGGCACACAAUGGAGUUGACCUGUGGCUGAAGAGAGAAACACUGGCGCCACCGGUGCUUUUUCGUCUUUAUAAAUUCCAUUAGUUACCACUUAGUGCGUCCCAGAAAUUUUUAAUUGACAAAAUACAAAUUAUUUGGAUUUCCAAAUAUAUAUUAAAAUGCCAUAUGAAUACACAUGUACAUUUGUGCAAUCUUCGACACUAAAGCACCCCAGGUUCAAAAUGUGAAUAUUGCAUUACGUCAUAUGUACAGAUGGUGCCUCAUAUUAAACAAAUUAAAACAAUGAGGAACCGGGAGCGGUGUAACAAGUAACAACUGGAUUGUUCCUAUUGAUGUUUGGGUAUUGCAUUGUGUUUUUUGUUAACAAAUUAACAAUUUGCUUUCGAAUGGUCAUUCUGCAGAGUACAUUUUAUUUUUGGAAUAAAACUAUAUGUUUGUUUGUAUUUAUUGUUUAAAGUCUUUCAAUAUUACUUGCAAUAUGAGCAAUCAUAGGGUACGCUAUGAAAGGAAGGAAAUGGCACUUUACAGAGGAAUUCAUAAAAAAUGCCUAGAAAUUUGAAAAUUACCGUGAAAAACAAAUCAGAGGUAACAGCUGUCAUAAUGAUCUACUCUAUCAAAUUAGGAUUAGGAUUAAAAAUGUCCUAAAGUUUUUUCAAAAUAGACACAACGGUCGACUUUCGGCUGUAAAGUCGAUCUAUAAAAUGUUGAAGGAGUUAUUUUAAGCCACCAGUCAUUUUAUUUAAUACAUCUUUUUGUUAUCGUGAGAAUAACAAAAAGAUUUCGCAGAAAUAUUAGAAAAGUCCAAAAGUCCAUGAAGGAAGUCAAUUUUAGUUGUAGUCAACGAAUAGGAGUCAACAAUAUCUACAUUGAAAAAAAAAUCAAAUCAAUUAACCGUUGGCAGUGGAUUAACAAUCAGAAAAAAAAUAUGUAACGAAUAUUGAUACAUAUAUAUGUACGGAGAUGGUAUAAAAAUAGCAUAUGUCGAUUUUUUAAAUCAUAAUGAGGUGGUUAACACAAAAAAAACGAAACUUCUGGUUGAUUUAAGGAGCAAAAUCGAUUAUUGCAAGGUAAUUGAAUGCUGAUACGUCUAAUUUAUUGUUUACCACUUGACAGGAGAUACAAUUUUUUUCCUUCGGGUCUCUUGAAUUGUACCGUAAAACUGAGAACAUAUCAUAAAUAAAAAAGAGUAUUGUAGACAUGCAGUGUGAGUAAUCAUAACAUUUUUACCUAAUUUUCUCUCUUUUCUUUGGCUUUGUGAACAUUCUAUUAUUUUGGACCUUCCAAUUACUACGUCCUGAAUCGGUUUCAGCCUAAAUAUUACAGGAUGUUAAUAUUAUCUGGAAUAUUAUUUCAUCGUGCAAAUAACAUAACAAAGAAAAAUUAUUCAUUGCAGAAAUAUUGCAAACUGACUUGUAUAUUAAAUUUUAUUAAAAAAACAUCCCGUUUCGU